UGGGGAAUUUUGGACAAUGGGCGAAAGCCUGAUCCAGCAAUGCCGCGUGUGUGAAGAAGGCCUUCGGGUUGUAAAGCACUUUUGUCCGGAAAGAAAUCCUUGGCUCUAAUACAGUCGGGGGAUGACGGUACCGGAAGAAUAAGCACCGGCUAACUACGUGCCAGCAGCCGCGGUAAUACGUAGGGUGCAAGCGUUAAUCGGAAUUACUGGGCGUAAAGCGUGCGCAGGCGGUUUGCUAAGACCGAUGUGAAAUCCCCGGGCUCAACCUGGGAACUGCAUUGGUGACUGGCAGGCUAGAGUAUGGCAGAGGGGGGUAGAAUUCCACGUGUAGCAGUGAAAUGCGUAGAGAUGUGGAGGAAUACCGAUGGCGAAGGCAGCCCCCUGGGCCAAUACUGACGCUCAUGCACGAAAGCGUGGGGAGCAAAACAGGAUUAGAUACCCUGGUAGUCCACGCCCUAAAACGAUGUCAACUAGUUGUUGGGGAUUCAUUUCCUUAGUAACGUNGCUAACGCGUGAAGUUGACCGCCU
Molecule: ribosomal RNA, 528 nt
Filed under: uncultured bacterium
Lineage: Bacteria
Description: partial 16S ribosomal RNA
Rfam family: Bacterial small subunit ribosomal RNA
Source: RNAcentral